UGAGGACUGGCUGCUUUCCCCGACAAAGAAUAAAACUGACGCCACAGGCUUUCUCAACUCAACCCGUGUGAUUUCACACGGAUGCUGCAUGCAAUGGCGGCAGAUGUCUUACCGGGUCUGAAUUGAACACAAGCUGCAAGUCCUGUGGUUGUCAUGCUGGUUCAACCAAGCAUGGAGGAAUGGGACAGCUGCAGCCCCUGAACCCCAGUUCCAACUGGAAGCUGGCCAUCUUGAAGCUUCAGCUGUUUUUCUCGAGUUUCUCGGAUCUCAUUUCGGUCUUCCUUUUCUUGAGUUGUUAAAAAAACAUAUUUUACCUCGAUUCCGACAUAAAACAGACAACCGCAACUGUAUCACCUACUCAAUACCGGCCCUCCAAUAUACGUUUUCACUCAGAGCAAGAUAGUGACGACCCAGAAAGGAGGCAUUUCUGAGGUACGAAAGUUAGCCUUGGCUUUAACCCCUGAUGACGUUCCAUGGCUCUGGUGUGCAGGGUGUGCAGGAUAAGUCAAAACAAAGCACCAAACUUUGCCCUGUCAGGUUGUCACGACAUCAUCCCACCACAUACACAGUGAUCCCUCUUUCGCGCAUUCCGAGGGGUGCGGAACUUACUUGUUUCAAAUUUCUUGGGCGAUGACUUCGAUUUUGCGAAUCCCCCCCCCAAAAAGCAGUGAAGAUAUAAAACGAGAGUUUAUAAUAGUUAUACAACUCAUGAUAUUCUAGCAAGCGUUUCGGAUGUGUCUGUUACUAUCACAUUCUUUCCCCUUCCUAUUUCUCUCUUAAAUCAUUCCAACUCCAAAAUGGACACUCAUUCUUCCACCCUGGACAUGGAUGUCGUUGAGCUUGUGCUGCCCAAAUAUGUGUAUACAUGUAACUUGAUUUCAGAUUCGAUAAUUUGUCAGUUACUCUCUUGUACUGUACAGUACCUUGCUAUUUACUAUUUCUAUUUAUACAUAUCAGUCCAUUAAGUUUAUUAGAGUGCUGUAUAUUGUGACAAUAUCUCCAUUCAACUUCUCUUGCACCUUGACUAGUCGCAUCUUGACUUAGCUAAUGUUGUCGCAAUCAGCAUAUUAUCUAGGUGUAAAUCUAGCUCGAAUGUCAUAGGACGGAUUUAUUUUCCAAACGCCCUCAUUGCACAUGAGUCGGAGAAUGUGGAGGGAUAAGGUAGGGUUUCCGAAAGUGAUAGUCGCAUAAUGGUUUCGAUCAAAUACCCUCCAAGUAAUCACGAAACUUUCGGUGAUCCAUGUUCACAGCGCGUGACUGAUCGGAAUUUAAUAAUUAAAGGAUAACAACACCCGUAACCACCCAGGGUGAAUAUAUCGAUACUCCACUGGCUUCUCUUGAUAUCGUGACUCAAGACUGCCCGCCAGGGCGCCAAUGUUACUUGGCCCACCUCACAUUAAGGGCGUGAUUAUACAAGGAAAUAUACCGGAUCCAUAGACUGAUCAGUGAUUCCCUAUUGACACAGAGGUUCGAUUGGCUUCCGCGUAUGCAAUGUUGUAUCGCUAUCUAAAAUCGCGGUUGAUCAGAGACAUAUCAAAUACAACCACGGUAAUAGGAUAACGGGCCGGAACAGGUACGGAAAUAUGAUACUCACGGCUGACGGAUAUCAGUCCAAUUCACCAAUAUAAUCACAUUGCUCUGACAAAGACCGGCCUCUCCGCACCACCCUUCAUUGAUACCGCCGAGAAUCCAACAAUCUCCCCCGCUGGUACCGCCAGACUAGGUAGCCUGUGACGAUCCCUAGAGCAGCUGUACCUCCGAAAACGAUCCCAAGAAUGGAGCCAAUAGAUAGCCCAGACCCGCUCGGUGAACCGCUGUCGUUAUCGCCAGGGCCUGGAGAGGAAUUAGUAGGACCGGCAGAAGCAGUUGGUAAGGGAAUUGUGGGAAUCGGCGUGGCAAUCUGGGAAACCAGACUGGUAAGUUGGGCGGAGUUAAUGAAGGACGAGCAAGGCGCGAAAUCCUAAGUUGCAAGAUACGAGUGUGAGUAA
This 1988-nucleotide small RNA is filed under the name Histoplasma capsulatum. RNAcentral's name for it is "hypothetical RNA". The record is from RNAcentral. Lineage: Eukaryota; Fungi; Ascomycota; Eurotiomycetes; Onygenales; Ajellomycetaceae. RNAcentral also lists the same sequence under 1 other name.